GGCCGGGCGACGGUUGUCCCGGUUUAAGCGUGUAGGCUGGUUUUCCAGGCAAAUCCGGAAAAUCAAGGCUGAGGCGUGAUGACGAGGCACUACGGUGCUGAAGCGACAAAUGCCCUGCUUCCAGGAAAAGCCUCUAAGCAUCAGGUAACAUCAAAUCGUACCCCAAACCGACACAGGUGGUCAGGUAGAGAAUACCAAGGCGCUUGAGAGAACUCGGGUGAAGGAACUAGGCAAAAUGGUGCCGUAACUUCGGGAGAAGGCACGCUGAUAUGUAGGUGAAGCGACUUGCUCGUGGAGCUGAAAUCAGUCGAAGAUACCAGCUGGCUGCAACUGUUUAUUAAAAACACAGCACUGUGCAAACACGAAAGUGGACGUAUACGGUGUGACGCCUGCCCGGUGCCGGAAGGUUAAUUGAUGGGGUUAGCGGUAACGCGAAGCUCUUGAUCGAAGCCCCGGUAAACGGCGGCCGUAACUAUAACGGUCCUAAGGUAGCGAAAUUCCUUGUCGGGUAAGUUCCGACCUGCACGAAUGGCGUAAUGAUGGCCAGGCUGUCUCCACCCGAGACUCAGUGAAAUUGAACUCGCUGUGAAGAUGCAGUGUACCCGCGGCAAGACGGAAAGACCCCGUGAACCUUUACUAUAGCUUGACACUGAACAUUGAGCCUUGAUGUGUAGGAUAGGUGGGAGGCUUUGAAGUGUGGACGCCAGUCUGCAUGGAGCCGACCUUGAAAUACCACCCUUUAAUGUUUGAUGUUCUAACGUGGGCCCCUUACCGGGGUUGCGGACAGUGUCUGGUGGGUAGUUUGACUGGGGCGGUCUCCUCCUAAAGAGUAACGGAGGAGCACGAAGGUUGGCUAAUCCUGGUCGGACAUCAGGAGGUUAGUGCAAUGGCAUAAGCCAGCUUGACUGCGAGCGUGACGGCGCGAGCAGGUGCGAAAGCAGGUCAUAGUGAUCCGGUGGUUCUGAAUGGAAGGGCCAUCGCUCAACGGAUAAAAGGUACUCCGGGGAUAACAGGCUGAUACCGCCCAAGAGUUCAUAUCGACGGCGGUGUUUGGCACCUCGAUGUCGGCUCAUCACAUCCUGGGGCUGAAGUAGGUCCCAAGGGUAUGGCUGUUCGCCAUUUAAAGUGGUACGCGAGCUGGGUUUAGAACGUCGUGAGACAGUUCGGUCCCUAUCUGCCGUGGGCGCUGGAGAACUGAGGGGGGCUGCUCCUAGUACGAGAGGACCGGAGUGGACGCAUCACUGGUGUUCGGGUUGUCAUGCCAAUGGCACUGCCCGGUAGCUAAAUGCGGAAGAGAUAAGUGCUGAAAGCAUCUAAGCACGAAACUUGCCCCGAGAUGAGUUCUCCCUGACUCCUUGAGAGUCCUGAAGGAACGUUGAAGACGACGACGUUGAUAGGCCGGGUGUGUAAGCGCAGCGAUGCGUUGAGCUAACCGGUACUAAUGAACCGUGAGGCUUAACCUU
Molecule: ribosomal RNA, 1463 nt
Filed under: Escherichia coli
Lineage: Bacteria; Pseudomonadati; Pseudomonadota; Gammaproteobacteria; Enterobacterales; Enterobacteriaceae
Description: partial 23S ribosomal RNA
Rfam family: Bacterial large subunit ribosomal RNA
Source: RNAcentral